GUAUCUGGAUUUUUAAGUGGCCAUUGUGCAAAAGUAAAACUUCAACUUCAAAACACCUCGCAGACGUGGAUUCUACACUGGGGUUGCAUUUCCACUGGAAACAAGAAAUGGUUUGUUCCCUCAUUUUAUCCUUCUGGGACUACUGUUCAUAAGAAAUGUGCAUUGCGUACUCCAUUUGUAAAGGACGGAGAUGCAUAUGUUGUUGUCAUAGAGCUAAGAGACCCUAAGAUACAUGCUAUUGAAUUUGUUCUGAAAGAUACCAG
Molecule: long non-coding RNA, 263 nt
Organism: Erigeron canadensis
Lineage: Eukaryota; Viridiplantae; Streptophyta; Magnoliopsida; Asterales; Asteraceae
Exons: 3
Source: RefSeq, a predicted model, not a curated record